CCCAGUUGUCAAGACAACAGUUCAUAAUUGUACCAGCUCUUUCCAUUGCAGCUAGACAUUUCAUAAAUAGAUAAUUCUCUAAUUGAUCCAGCCAAUCCUACUUUGCAUACCCUGCCAAACUAGCACAGACUCUUUAGUGCAGUCCUGAUUUCUGUAUUAAUGAAUUGAGAAGAUGACAUCAGGCUCUUAGCAUUCAUAAUAAAGCCGACGUGGUGUUUCACUGCAAUACGACAUCUCCAGUAAUCUUCUUAAGAGGUAAGCAGUGUUAGA
Haemorhous mexicanus (house finch) is the source of this 270-nucleotide long non-coding RNA. RefSeq lists it as uncharacterized. Lineage: Eukaryota; Metazoa; Chordata; Aves; Passeriformes; Fringillidae. The transcript has 3 exons. The record is from RefSeq and is a predicted model, not a curated record.